Molecule: transfer RNA, 100 nt
Filed under: Infirmifilum uzonense
Lineage: Archaea; Thermoproteati; Thermoproteota; Thermoprotei; Thermofilales; Thermofilaceae
Description: Thermofilum uzonense tRNA
Rfam family: tRNA
About the family: Transfer RNA (tRNA) molecules are approximately 80 nucleotides in length.
Source: Rfam by way of RNAcentral
GCCCCGGUAGCUCAGACUGGUGGAGCGUCGGCCUUGUAAGGCCCUAGAGAGGGGGGUUCGAGGGAGCCGAAGGUCCCGGGUUCAAAUCCCGGCCGGGGCU